UUAGGCCGGCUGGACUAUAGGAAAUAGGCUCGUGAGAGACGAGGUCUAUUUGACUUGUGAGCGAAAGUAUCUUGAUUGGGUAUCUUUGAUAACUCUAGAAAGUGGAGUUAAAUUGAAGUGUAUAGCUUCUAACUUCGCGGAGGGUUACGUUGGCGGCCGACAACGUAACAUCGGGAGUUAGUGGUGAAGAACACUUCCUUACUUUCGCAUGAUUUGGGUAUUGUCU
This 226-nucleotide long non-coding RNA is filed under the name Ananas comosus (pineapple). RNAcentral's name for it is "long non-coding RNA (ACOM_LNC036947)". The record is from RNAcentral. Lineage: Eukaryota; Viridiplantae; Streptophyta; Magnoliopsida; Poales; Bromeliaceae.